RNAcentral lists this ribosomal RNA (356 nucleotides) under Antidesma japonicum. RNAcentral's name for it is "eukaryotic LSU rRNA". The record is from RNAcentral. Lineage: Eukaryota; Viridiplantae; Streptophyta; Magnoliopsida; Malpighiales; Phyllanthaceae.
AUCGAGUUUUUGAACGCAAGUUGCGCCCGAAGCCUUCGGGCCGAGGGCACGUCUGCCUGGGUGUCACACAACGUCGCCCCCCCACCCCCGUCCGCCCCGAAGUGGGCGUGGGGCGAAGGAGGGGGCAGAGUAUGGCCUCCCGUCGGCCCUACCGACGGUUGGCYGAAAUACCUGUCCUCGGCGUACGGCGUCGUGACGAUCGGUGGUUGAACAGGCCCUCAUGAAUCGUCGCGSGCCCCGCCGAACGGGACGACCGAGACCCUCGCGCGUCYGCGGACGCCUAMCGACGCGACCCCAGGUCAGGCGGGACCACCCGCUGAGUUUAAGCAUAUCAAUAAGCGGAGGAAAAGAAACUU